This 998-nucleotide ribosomal RNA is filed under the name uncultured bacterium. RNAcentral's name for it is "bacterial SSU rRNA". It matches the Rfam family "Bacterial small subunit ribosomal RNA", at positions 8 to 1015 of the family's 1533-position model. The record is from RNAcentral.
AGAGUUUGAUCAUGGCUCAGGACGAACGCUGGCGGCGUGCUUAACACAUGCAAGUCACGGGGGGCCCGCAAGGGUCAACCGGCGAACGGGUGCGUAACACGUGAGCGACCUGCCCAGUUGCGGGGGAUAGCCGGCCCAACGGCCGGGUAAUACCGCAUACGCGUUCCGGGGGCAUACCCUGGGGCGGAAACCUACGGGGCAAUUGGAGGGGCUCGCGGCCUAUCAGCUAGUUGGCGGGGUAACGGCCCACCAAGGCGAUGACGGGUAGCUGGUCUGAGAGGAUGGCCAGCCACAUUGGGACUGAGAGACGGCCCAGACUCCUACGGGAGGCAGCAGUGGGGAAUCUUGCGCAAUGGCCGAAAGGCUGACGCAGCGACGCCGCGUGGAGGAUGACGCCCUUCGGGGUGUAAACUCCUGUUGCCCGGGACGAAAGCCCGUUUCGACGGGGGUGACGGUACCGGGUGAGGAAGCACCGGCUAACUCUGUGCCAGCAGCCGCGGUAAUACAGAGGGUGCGAGCGUUGUCCGGAAUCACUGGGCGUAAAGGGCGCGUAGGCGGCUGGGUAAGCGUGUGGUGAAAGCCCGGGGCUCAACCCCGGGUCGGCCAUGCGAACUGCCCGGCUGGAGCACGGUAGAGGCACAUGGAAUUCCGGGUGUAGCGGUGGAAUGCGUAGAGAUCCGGAAGAACACCGGUGGCGAAGGCGGUGUGCUGGGCCGUGGCUGACGCUGAGGCGCGGCAGCGUGGGGAGCAAACAGGAUUAGAUACCCUGGUAGUCCACGCCGUANACGAUGGGCACUANGUCCUUGGGGGAGCGACCCCGUGAGGGCCGGCGCUAACGCAUUAAGUGCCCCGCCUGGGGAGUACGGCCGCAAGGCUGAAACUCAAAGGAAUUGACGGGGGCCCGCACAAGCGGUGGAGCAUGUGGUUUAAUUCGACGCAACGCGAAGAACCUUACCUAGGCUUGACAUGGCCGGGAAAGCCGGGGGAAACCCUGGGCC